This 547-nucleotide ribosomal RNA is filed under the name Escherichia coli. Its description in RNAcentral is "bacterial SSU rRNA". It matches the Rfam family "Bacterial small subunit ribosomal RNA", at positions 993 to 1533 of the family's 1533-position model. Lineage: Bacteria; Pseudomonadati; Pseudomonadota; Gammaproteobacteria; Enterobacterales; Enterobacteriaceae. The record is from RNAcentral.
GAACCUUGUAGAGAUACGAGGGUGCCUUCGGGAACUGUGAGACAGGUGCUGCAUGGCUGUCGUCAGCUCGUGUUGUGAAAUGUUGGGUUAAGUCCCGCAACGAGCGCAACCCUUAUCCUUUGUUGCCAGCGGUCCGGCCGGGAACUCAAAGGAGACUGCCAGUGAUAAACUGGAGGAAGGUGGGGAUGACGUCAAGUCAUCAUGGCCCUUACGACCAGGGCUACACACGUGCUACAAUGGCGCAUACAAAGAGAAGCGACCUCGCGAGAGCAAGCGGACCUCAUAAAGUGCGUCGUAGUCCGGAUUGGAGUCUGCAACUCGACUCCAUGAAGUCGGAAUCGCUAGUAAUCGUGGAUCAGAAUGCCACGGUGAAUACGUUCCCGGGCCUUGUACACACCGCCCGUCACACCAUGGGAGUGGGUUGCAAAAGAAGUAGGUAGCUUAACCUUCGGGAGGGCGCUUACCACUUUGUGAUUCAUGACUGGGGUGAAGUCGUAACAAGGUAACCGUAGGGGAACCUGCGGUUGGAUCACCUCCUUACCUUAAA